RNAcentral lists this long non-coding RNA (817 nucleotides) under Dasypus novemcinctus (nine-banded armadillo). Its description in RNAcentral is "lncRNA (ENSDNOG00000052757.1)". The record is from RNAcentral. Lineage: Eukaryota; Metazoa; Chordata; Mammalia; Cingulata; Dasypodidae.
CCCCGGGGACCGGUGGACGCCGAGCUGUCCCGCUGAGCCGCGGCGCACAGCCUGAGGGCUGCUGACCCCCUCGAGUCCACGGGCGCCCCUCGCAUUCUCUGCUUGGCCUAACGAGCCCCUCCCCAGAGCUGUGCUUGGGACCUUUUCAAGAUGACUUGGUUCCACUCCACCCUGAGGUCUUCACCAGUAAGAUGGCAAGCCAUUUGCAAGGCUGGAACAGGAAGCCUACGGAAGCGGGCAGGCAGAGGUCAGCAGCAGCUAGGACGAGAACUGCUGCUCUUUCUGCCUCUUCUGUGCAGGCUGACUACUCCAACUCUCCCCAUGAACUAAGAAGAAACUGGGCAGUCCGGAAAUAUGGCCACCAAGCUCAGCAAAGGGCAAGGGUGAGGCAUGGGAAGAAAUGGGAAACAUGUGACAUCUAUAAAUGGCGAGACCACAAACUCCACCUUCCUUGCUUCAGCAGUCAGGCAGGAGAGAGGGGAGACUUUCCAGGAGAGAGAAAAGACCUCCAAGUGCUGACAUCUGGGAAUCCAAAGGAAAACCCAGCACACUGACUAGAGACCAUCCUAUGUACAGCCCGGCCGUGGACACACCGCUCUCAUCCUGCACUCAGCCUCAGGUGCCUUAAACACCAACGCUGCGCAAAUGAUUGCAACGUCUGCAUCUCCACGCUCCACCUCUCCCCGCAUCUCUGGACUCAAACCCAGCUUCUCCAUUUAGAAACCUACUGGCAACUCAAGCUUACCAUGAUUGAAACACAGUGCAUGCUCCUCCUGCAGUCUUCCCUGUCUUAGUAAAAGGCCAAUAAAUCGAUUCU